ACGCGCUCUGAUUGGUCGGGCUAGCGUAGGCUACGCGUUCUGAUUGGUCAGUGUUUUCCGUUAAUAUCUCCUCAAUGAAGCCUCGGACAACAUUUUUGCUAAGGAAAAAGUUAUUUUAAAUCACCUCCCGAACCACCCCUUUCAUGGCAUCACACCAUUUUUGGGACACCCUGUAUCCAAACACUUGUUACAACAAAAAUUUUAUUAAUUUUCAUAUCGACCUCAUUUCAUUGUUUAAAUUUUAUUUUGUUUAUACUCGGAAAGUUUAGCCCCAAGUUCUACAUACAUUCUACAUACGAAACUUAAAAUGAAAUGAAAAUAACGUUGGAAACUUAAAAUUUACAUUUACAAUUUGAAUGCACCCAUUUCUUAGGGCACCUAAAGGUGCCAGUUUUAAGGUCGUACUAGAUACCUUACUGACGGUAGAGACGGUGCGCAUGCGCGAAUGGGCAGCAACCCCGACAUUGCUGCUCCCAGGGCCUCUCCCUAAUGCAUACGUAAUAGAAAGAAAACCGUGGGGGUUUUAGUGGGUAGAGCCUGCACUGCUGCGAGCAAGUAGGGAAUCCCACGCAAUUCCCGGUCUUCCCCAAAAGGUCGGGAACGUUUCUAAAAGGUUUUUCCCCACGCAAAAAAAAAAGGGAAAAAAAGCUGAUGGAGGAUCUAUGAAGGCGGACAGAUCUCUGAGAGUAAAUAUAUCCUCGCCACCAAGCCAGCAAUAUGGUAACGGGAAGAUACGAUACGGGAAUGUAGUAGCUGAUGUGUAUCAUUUCAUUUAAAAAUUCCAUUUAUCAAAAACUAUACCAUUCCAUUAAAAAAACUGAAGGUCACAGAUCACAUCAGGUAAGGAAAAAGUUGUUUCAAAUCACUUCAUAUCGACCUUAUUUCAUUGUUUGAAUUUUGAAAAAAAUAUAUCAUUCCAUUUAAAAAUUCCAUUUAUCAAAAAAUAUACUAUUCCAUUAAAAAAACUGAAGGUCACAGAUCACAUCAGGUAAGGAAAAAGUUGUUUCAUGUCACUUGGUAUCGACUUCAUAUCAUUGUUUGAAUUUUAUUUUGUUCGUACUCGGAAAGUUUAGCCCCAAUUGUUGUCUCUGUUGAAUGCACCCAUUUUUUAGGGCACCUAAAGGUUUAAAAGGCAAAUUUUAUACUGGAUGAAACGUAAUGACUCAAGAUUAUUAACUAAUUCAGAGAAUCUCUGUAAUUUAGAUAGACUCGAUUCGAGGAGACAGAUAAGGAACUUGGUGUACUUAAUAACAGCAUCGAUACGUAUCACAGCUGUCCAAGCAUGCAGUCCCCGUGGAACCUUGGGACGAUAAGGAGCGAUAACAAUCCACCCUGGACUGACCAAGGAUGGCCACUACUGACCGGCGACUCUACAAGAAGAAAUUGGGAGCUGAUGGAUAGGAUGGUCUCGGUGGAAACUGUGCAUCGCUUUCUCUCCCUAACUGGCACUCAAGAGAUAUAGCAUUCAACUUAGCCCGAGCCCUACGGUCAUUGUACUGUAUUGCCCCUGAAUGACCUAAGAUGACCCACAUAUUACAAGUCGAUUGGGCACAUGUUGCAUAAGCCUGUAUCUCAUUUAAAAAGUAGAAUAUACUUUAUCUAAAUCUAAACGAACGAGCCAAAAAAUUGAAAUAUAUACAAGUACCCCCUGCCCUGACAAAUAGAUCGAAAUAGAUGGAAUUGAAGUGGAGUAUCUUUCAUCUUGCGAUUAGUAGAAUUCAUUUGAAAUAAAAUUGAUUUCAAUGAAAGAAAAAUACAGUACAAGGCUGAUAUAUUUAAAUAAGAGUUAGAAAUAAUUGAGUGUGACGGAGAAUUAAUUUCUUCAUCUAACGAUUGUUCAAGCAACUCGUAAUGUGUUAGAAGAACAAUAAUAAGCACAAUUUGCUAGCUACUAAACUUAGAAUGUACAUACAGAUAAAUUGUAAUGGCUAUCAGGUUGGGAUUAAUAUGUACACAGAUUCGUUACAAUGGAAGUCACGACGAUUAAAAAUGUAAUUGACAAUUAUAAUUGAAAAUUGAUUUCAAUUAGAAUUAAAGUGAAUUUCAAAUGAUGUUUCAAUUAAUUCAACAUACGAUUAAAAAAAUACAAUCAACAAUUAUAAGGGAAAAUUGAUUUCAUUUAGAUUUAAUGAUAAAAUUAAAUUGAAAUCCAUCUUCAUCAAUUAAAAUUGAAUUUAAUUCAAAACACUGUCGAUAAGUCGACAUUAAUUAAGGGGGUAUUCUAGUCCAGAACUUUCAAAAUAUCAAUUUUCCUUUUUUACAUUUUCUAAAAAUGCAGACAAAAUGUUAAACAAAAAAAUUCCGAAAAAUAACUAAAAACUGACGCUUUAGACUAGAUUCAUUGAACCUAAAAUGCAGCUUCCUGGAAAUUA
Long non-coding RNA from Hylaeus anthracinus, 2372 nucleotides. RefSeq lists it as uncharacterized. The transcript is spliced from 3 exons. Lineage: Eukaryota; Metazoa; Arthropoda; Insecta; Hymenoptera; Colletidae. The record is from RefSeq and is a predicted model, not a curated record.